Molecule: ribosomal RNA, 540 nt
Filed under: Triticum aestivum (bread wheat)
Lineage: Eukaryota; Viridiplantae; Streptophyta; Magnoliopsida; Poales; Poaceae
Description: partial small subunit ribosomal RNA
Source: RNAcentral
AUGCAGAUGAACAACAAGGAGCCGGCCGCCGACGGCAAGUCGCCGACUACCAUCUGUAGCAGGCUUCAGAGAGCCUUCCACGCCCGGCCGGUCUUCGGGCCUCUUCGCCGCCUCACGGGCCAACCCCACGACGGCGGAGCUGCCGCUACCGGCGUACCCGGGGGAGCGCCUGCCACGACGCACGGUGGUGCACCGCCACCGGUUGUAUUGCCGGCACGUGCACCGGCGCCGUCUCCAGCAGGCAAAGCUCCCGCACCUACGGCGACACCGGCGAUCGUGCCAGCGGCGCCCCAGAAACCGGCUGCUGCCAAGGGAGGUGGCAAGCCUGGGCAGGUCCUCGGGAGCACUCCUACCGUCGCUGCAACCAGGAGCAAGGUUGCCGAGAAGGCGGCAGGGGGGAUCCCGGUACCGGUGCCACCGCCGGCAGUCAUGGCUGGAAGGCCGGCAGCGGACGCGAAGGCUGGGGACAAGGCGCAGCAGACAAAGGGGAAGAUCAGGGUGAGCUCCAGGGUCCGCAAGGCCUUGGCCUCAUCCAAGUAG